CAUGGCUGAGUAGCUAAGUUCGGAAAGGAUAAACGCUGAAAGCAUAUAAGCGUGAAGCCUAUUUUAAGAAUAGAUAUCGUUCUCUAAGCAAUUAGAGGGAAGACAUCUUAAAGAUUAUGAGAUUGAUAGGCCAGAUGUGUAAGUCCGGUAACGGAUUUAGCUAACUGGUACUAAUUUGUCGAAAAGCUUGAUCAC
This 195-nucleotide ribosomal RNA is filed under the name Candidatus Scalindua sp. Its description in RNAcentral is "partial 23S ribosomal RNA". It matches the Rfam family "Bacterial large subunit ribosomal RNA", at positions 2736 to 2925 of the family's 2925-position model. Lineage: Bacteria; Pseudomonadati; Planctomycetota; Candidatus Brocadiia; Candidatus Brocadiales; Candidatus Scalinduaceae. The record is from RNAcentral.